UACAGAGGCCUGGAGCGUUAGGCGGAAUCACUGGGCUUAAAGCGUGUGUAGGCGGACUUCUAAGUGCCUUGUGAAAUCCCACGGCUCACCCGUGGAACUGCUGGGCAUACUGGGAGUCUUGAGCCACCUAGGGGCGAGCGGAACAAAUGGUGGAGCGGUGAAAUGCGUAGAUAUCAUUUGGAACGCCAACGGAGAAAUCAGCUCGCUGGGGGUGUGCUGACGCUGAGACACGAAAGCCAGGGGAGCAAACGGG
This 253-nucleotide ribosomal RNA is filed under the name uncultured bacterium. RNAcentral's name for it is "partial 16S ribosomal RNA". It matches the Rfam family "Bacterial small subunit ribosomal RNA", at positions 524 to 776 of the family's 1533-position model. The record is from RNAcentral.